Molecule: small RNA, 318 nt
Filed under: uncultured bacterium
Lineage: Bacteria
Description: bacterial SSU rRNA
Rfam family: Bacterial small subunit ribosomal RNA
Source: RNAcentral
GUAACAGGAAACAGCUUGCUGUUUCGCUGACCAGUGGCGGACGGGUGAGUAAUGUCUGGGAAACUGCCUGAUGGAGGGGGAUAACUACUGGAAACGGUAGUUAAUACCGCAUAACGUCGCAAGACCAAAGAGGGGGACCUUCGGGCCUCUUGCCAUCGGAUGUGCCCAGAUGGGAUUAGCUAGUAGGUGGGGUAACGGCUCACCUAGGCGACGAUCCCUAGCUGGUCUGAGAGGAUGACCAGCCACACUGGAACUGAGACACGGUCCAGACUCCUACGGGAGGCAGCAGUGGGACUCCUACGGGAGGCAGCAGUGGGA